UUUAAGUGUAGUCAUGAGUUUCCGCGCACUAUUUUGAUCGUUCGUCUUAUUUGAAAUUUUUUUAUAAUUAGUAUUUUUGUUGUUAUGAUAUGAUAAAACAUGAAAAAUACUUUACUCGUGACUUGUGUUUUAUUUCUUUUAAAAAAAAUUUUCAAAUAAGACGGACGAUCAAAGUUAGGUGCGGAAAACCAUGGCUGCACUUAAA
Oryza meridionalis is the source of this 205-nucleotide non-coding RNA. The record is from Rfam. Lineage: Eukaryota; Viridiplantae; Streptophyta; Magnoliopsida; Poales; Poaceae.